CCUCUUGGAAUGCUCUAUCGGUCGGCCUAUAUUGGUCUUGUCCGGUUUCGGCCGGACUAUAGCGAUAAACGCGCUUGUAAUAAGCGGACCGGACCCGGGUGCGAUUCCCGGCGGCUCCACCAUCGUCUUCCCCGCGUUAUCGGCGGAGGCAGUAUGGGGCCGACUAGCAUCGACGGACGUGUAAAGAGGAUUGCUUUCGCUCGUCCUGGCCCACCGUAUCGGGCCAUUUUCUAACUGCGAACGAUAACUUCGCUGGAGAAGUCGCUCUCGCCGCGUAAUGCGGUUCGGGUGAUUUCGAAUCUUAAGUCCUAGGGGUUCAGAUCCUUGGGCGGGGCCUGUCGGGAGCCUGGCAACAGAAUCCCGGCGCU
This 368-nucleotide transfer-messenger RNA is filed under the name Brevundimonas sp. It matches the Rfam family "Alphaproteobacteria transfer-messenger RNA". From Rfam's summary of the family: Bacterial tmRNA, also known as 10Sa RNA or SsrA, is named for its dual tRNA and mRNA-like properties. The record is from RNAcentral. Lineage: Bacteria; Pseudomonadati; Pseudomonadota; Alphaproteobacteria; Caulobacterales; Caulobacteraceae.